Molecule: ribosomal RNA, 1590 nt
Filed under: Salmonella enterica subsp. enterica serovar Tennessee
Lineage: Bacteria; Pseudomonadati; Pseudomonadota; Gammaproteobacteria; Enterobacterales; Enterobacteriaceae
Description: bacterial LSU rRNA
Rfam family: Bacterial large subunit ribosomal RNA
Source: RNAcentral
GAAGGUGGCCUGUGAGGGUUGCUGGAGGUAUCAGAAGUGCGAAUGCUGACAUAAGUAACGAUAAAGCGGGUGAAAAGCCCGCUCGCCGGAAGACCAAGGGUUCCUGUCCAACGUUAAUCGGGGCAGGGUGAGUCGACCCCUAAGGCGAGGCCGAAAGGCGUAGUCGAUGGGAAACGGGUUAAUAUUCCCGUACUUGGUGUUACUGCGAAGGGGGGACGGAGAAGGCUAUGUUGGCCGGGCGACGGUUGUCCCGGUUUAAGCGUGUAGGUGUGUGUUCCAGGUAAAUCCGGUUCACUUUAACACUGAGGCGUGACGACGAGGCACUACGGUGCUGAAGCAACAAAUGCCCUGCUUCCAGGAAAAGCCUCUAAGCAUCAGGUAACAUCAAAUCGUACCCCAAACCGACACAGGUGGUCAGGUAGAGAAUACCAAGGCGCUUGAGAGAACUCGGGUGAAGGAACUAGGCAAAAUGGUGCCGUAACUUCGGGAGAAGGCACGCUGACAUGUAGGUGAAGUGAUUUACUCAUGGAGCUGAAGUCAGUCGAAGAUACCAGCUGGCUGCAACUGUUUAUUAAAAACACAGCACUGUGCAAACACGAAAGUGGACGUAUACGGUGUGACGCCUGCCCGGUGCCGGAAGGUUAAUUGAUGGGGUCAGCGCAAGCGAAGCUCCUGAUCGAAGCCCCGGUAAACGGCGGCCGUAACUAUAACGGUCCUAAGGUAGCGAAAUUCCUUGUCGGGUAAGUUCCGACCUGCACGAAUGGCGUAAUGAUGGCCAGGCUGUCUCCACCCGAGACUCAGUGAAAUUGAACUCGCUGUGAAGAUGCAGUGUACCCGCGGCAAGACGGAAAGACCCCGUGAACCUUUACUAUAGCUUGACACUGAACAUUGAGCCUUGAUGUGUAGGAUAGGUGGGAGGCUUUGAAGUGUGGACGCCAGUCUGCAUGGAGCCGACCUUGAAAUACCACCCUUUAAUGUUUGAUGUUCUAACGUGGACCCGUUAUCCGGGUUGCGGACAGUGUCUGGUGGGUAGUUUGACUGGGGCGGUCUCCUCCUAAAGAGUAACGGAGGAGCACGAAGGUUGGCUAAUCCUGGUCGGACAUCAGGAGGUUAGUGCAAUGGCAUAAGCCAGCUUGACUGCGAGCGUGACGGCGCGAGCAGGUGCGAAAGCAGGUCAUAGUGAUCCGGUGGUUCUGAAUGGAAGGGCCAUCGCUCAACGGAUAAAAGGUACUCCGGGGAUAACAGGCUGAUACCGCCCAAGAGUUCAUAUCGACGGCGGUGUUUGGCACCUCGAUGUCGGCUCAUCACAUCCUGGGGCUGAAGUAGGUCCCAAGGGUAUGGCUGUUCGCCAUUUAAAGUGGUACGCGAGCUGGGUUUAGAACGUCGUGAGACAGUUCGGUCCCUAUCUGCCGUGGGCGCUGGAGAACUGAGGGGGGCUGCUCCUAGUACGAGAGGACCGGAGUGGACGCAUCACUGGUGUUCGGGUUGUCAUGCCAAUGGCACUGCCCGGUAGCUAAAUGCGGAAGAGAUAAGUGCUGAAAGCAUCUAAGCACGAAACUUGCCCCGAGAUGAGUUCUCCCUGAGACUUAG